GGCGGAGUGGCCGAGUGGUUAUGGCGAUUGACUAGAAAUCAAUUGGGUUCGCCCGCGCAGGUUCGAGUCCUGUCUCCGUCG
This is a transfer RNA of Metarhizium majus ARSEF 297, 81 nucleotides long. It matches the Rfam family "tRNA". From Rfam's summary of the family: Transfer RNA (tRNA) molecules are approximately 80 nucleotides in length. The record is from Rfam. NCBI's taxonomy places the organism in Eukaryota, Fungi, Ascomycota, Sordariomycetes, Hypocreales, Clavicipitaceae.